CAGUCGCCACGGGAACACGGAGGGAGCUAGCGUUGUUCGGAAUUACUGGGCGUAAAGCGCGCGUAGGCGGUUACUCAAGUCAGAGGUGAAAGCCCGGGGCUCAACCCCGGAACUGCCUUUGAAACUAGGUGACUAGAAUCUUGGAGAGGUCAGUGGAAUUCCGAGUGUAGAGGUGAAAUUCGUAGAUAUUCGGAAGAACACCAGUGGCGAAGGCGACUGACUGGACAAGUAUUGACGCUGAGGUGCGAAAGCGUGGGGAGCAAACAGGAUUAGAUACCCCUGUAGUCCCUGUCUCUUAUAC
Molecule: ribosomal RNA, 301 nt
Filed under: uncultured bacterium
Lineage: Bacteria
Description: partial 16S ribosomal RNA
Rfam family: Bacterial small subunit ribosomal RNA
Source: RNAcentral